This 64-nucleotide transfer RNA is filed under the name Cavia porcellus (domestic guinea pig). It matches the Rfam family "tRNA", at positions 1 to 62 of the family's 71-position model. From Rfam's summary of the family: Transfer RNA (tRNA) molecules are approximately 80 nucleotides in length. Their secondary structure includes four short double-helical elements and three loops (D, anti-codon, and T loops). Lineage: Eukaryota; Metazoa; Chordata; Mammalia; Rodentia; Caviidae. The record is from Rfam by way of RNAcentral.
GGGGAUUUAGCUCAGUGGCUUAAGCGCCUGCCUUACAAGCAGGCGGUCGUGAGUUCGAUCCCUG